RNAcentral lists this unclassified non-coding RNA (410 nucleotides) under fungal sp. Its description in RNAcentral is "partial internal transcribed spacer region". The stretch from base 1 to 46 matches the Rfam family "Eukaryotic small subunit ribosomal RNA", at positions 1786 to 1831 of the family's 1831-position model. Lineage: Eukaryota; Fungi. The record is from RNAcentral.
AAGUCGUAACAAGGUCUCCGUAGGUGAACCUGCGGAGGGAUCAUUAACACGUAUACACGUAUCAACCAACUGUGAACUUAUAGUAUGUAUAUAAAACACUAUGUAACAAUUUAUUGUUCUCUUGUUCUAUAUAUGUAUGCUCUACCUAAAUCAGAUCGUAUUGUUAGUUAUAAUCAUUGUGGAAGGUUACAUAUGCAAAUAUGUAGCUGGUUAUAGCUAGAGAGUGUUUAAUCACUCAAAUCUUUCUGAGUUAGGCUUUUACCCAUAGCACUUUCACACUAGCAAAACCCUUUUCACCCUUCUUAUAAAUUGUAUGACUGAAAAAAUAUUGUUGUAUAUGUAAUGUAUACAUAAAUAUUGAUAUUCACAAACUAAAAGCACAACUCUUAGCAACGGAUAUCUUGGUUUUC